This is a long non-coding RNA of Ctenopharyngodon idella (grass carp), 1431 nucleotides long. RefSeq lists it as uncharacterized. NCBI's taxonomy places the organism in Eukaryota, Metazoa, Chordata, Actinopteri, Cypriniformes, Xenocyprididae. The transcript has 3 exons. The record is from RefSeq and is a predicted model, not a curated record.
UGUCAUGAUGUUGUGACGCUAUGGGAACGCCCCUGCAUGAGCCAGGGUCUGAAGCACAAGUGGGAAAUGCCAGCAUGUGUCAGCACGUCAACAAGAUCAUAAACAGAAGCCAGAAACACAGGCCACCAGAUUCUAAUUGUCCAAAGGAAGAUGUUUUCAGGCAUUGCAUAAAGUAUGGCAAGGCAACACAUCAUUGCGUUCCCUCUCAGGGAACCAGGUUACAUAAGUAACUUGAGGCGUUCCCUUUCAAGUGGAAUGGCAUCAACAAUCCAAUGAGAUAACCUCUGCUUGGAGACUGGAGAACCUCUACCAUGACCCCCAAGCAGACCAGUUUGAUCGGAUUUACGCCACAAGCCCGAGUGGUCAACAUAAAUCCUCAGUGACCUGACUGGACACAAAAGGUGCAACAUUGCUGCAGGCGCAAAAACCCAUUUAUUUCUGCAUUAGAGGCCUCCUACAACAAUAUGUAAAAGACAGGCUCACGCAGAUGUGUUCCCAUAGUGCAGGGGCGGACUGGGGCAAAAAAGUGGCCCUGGACUUUCUGGCACAAAGCAGCCCGUCACACCCGUCCGCAACACACCUCACCAUAAAACCCAGCAGCUCAUUAUGCAUAUGAGACAUUUUUUACACCACUUACUAACAUAAAAAUAUAAAUGCUAUUUAUACAGAAAUAUUUUUUUAAUUAUUGAAAUGCUUAUUAUUAACAUUAAUGAAUGACUGGCAUGCUUCUUUUAUGUUAGAAUUUGUCUUUCCUGGUGCACAUGGCAAAUAGUAAAUAAUUUUGAAAAAAAUUCAAAUCUCUUUUCCAUACAGGAAAGUUUAAUAUCACUAUAAUUAAUACCUACCAAUAAAUCAGUCCAUAUAUAACAAUGUUCUGGUAUGGUCUAUAAGACUUAGAAUGUAGAGCAGAAUGUGGACUGUUUUAUGGUGCCUUUCUAGUGGUUAUAGUAUUAGUCCUUUCAGGAGAUUGACAACUUUCAUUUUAUGGAAUAGAGGUCCAAUUGUGGAAAAGAGUGUAAAAAUUCUUGUUUAUGAAAAAUACAGCAUAUUAUAAUGAUUUCUGAAGGGUCACCUGACUGAGGACUGGAGCAAUGAUGUUGAAAAUUCAGCUUUGAUCACAGGAAUAAAUUACAUUUUACAAUAAAAAAAAAAAAAAAAACAUUCACUCUUGUCUGAUAUGCUGAAAACUGCUACGUUAAUGUUUCUUUGUGCAUUGUGUGACGAAUAAUGUAAAUGGUAUUAAAAUAUGAAAAAUUCUAAAAGGUCAGAAGUUAUUUGCAUCCCUGGAAAUGAUUGUCCAUCAUUUAACAGUUUUUUUUAUCGUAAACAGUCUGCAAAUAUUGCUGUAUAUUAUUGUCUCGUCAUGUUCAGCUGCUUAUCUUACCUCGGCUCACACUCUUCAAGCAUUAAAAAGUGCCGCGCUGCUCGGUU